This 663-nucleotide ribosomal RNA is filed under the name uncultured Actinomyces sp. RNAcentral describes it as "bacterial SSU rRNA". It matches the Rfam family "Bacterial small subunit ribosomal RNA", at positions 28 to 688 of the family's 1533-position model. The record is from RNAcentral. Lineage: Bacteria; Bacillati; Actinomycetota; Actinomycetes; Actinomycetales; Actinomycetaceae.
GACGAACGCUGGCGGCGUGCUUAACACAUGCAAGUCGAACGCUGAAGCCCAGCUUGCUGGGUGGAUGAGUGGCGAACGGGUGAGUAACACGUGAGUAACCUGCCCCCUUCUUUGGGAUAACGCCCGGAAACGGGUGCUAAUACUGGAUAUUCACUGAUCUUCGCAUGGGGGUUGGUGGAAAGGUUUUUUCUGGUGGGGGAUGGGCUCGCGGCCUAUCAGCUUGUUGGUGGGGUGAUGGCCUACCAAGGCUUUGACGGGUAGCCGGCCUGAGAGGGUGACCGGUCACAUUGGGACUGAGAUACGGCCCAGACUCCUACGGGAGGCAGCAGUGGGGAAUAUUGCACAAUGGGCGAAAGCCUGAUGCAGCGACGCCGCGUGAGGGAUGACGGCCUUCGGGUUGUAAACCUCUUUCGCUCAUGGUCAAGCCGCAACAGUGGUUGUGGUGAGGGUAGUGGGUAAAGAAGCGCCGGCUAACUACGUGCCAGCAGCCGCGGUAAUACGUANGGCGCGAGCGUUGUCCGGAAUUAUUGGGUUUAAAGGGAGCGUAGGCGGAUUGUUAAGUCAGCGGUUAAAGGGUGUGGCUCAACCAUGCAUUGCCGUUUGAAACUGGCGAUCUUGAGUGCANACAGGGAUGCCGGAAUUUNGUGGUGUAGCGNUGAANUG